RNAcentral lists this ribosomal RNA (160 nucleotides) under uncultured bacterium. Its description in RNAcentral is "partial 16S ribosomal RNA". It matches the Rfam family "Bacterial small subunit ribosomal RNA", at positions 1340 to 1500 of the family's 1533-position model. The record is from RNAcentral.
AAUCGCGGAUCAGCAUGCCGCGGUGAAUACGUUCCCGGGCCUUGUACACACCGCCCGUCACACCAUGGGAGCCGGUAAUACCCGAAGUCAGUAGUCCAACCACGUGAGGACGCUGCCGAAGGUAGGAUUGGCGACUGGGGUGAAGUCGUAACAAGGUAAC